CCUACGGGAGGCAGCAGUGAGGAAUAUUGGUCAAUGGGCGGGAGCCUGAACCAGCCAAGCCGCGUGCGGGAAGAAGGUACAGCGUAUCGUAAACCUCUUUUGUCAGGGAACAAAGGCGGGGACUAGUCCCCGGAUGAGGGUACCUGACGAAAAAGCAUCGGCUAACUCCGUGCCAGCAGCCGCGGUAAUACUGAGGAUGCGAGCGUUAUCCGGAUUUAUUGGGUUUAAAGGGUGCGCAGGCGGCCUGUUAAGUCAGCGGGAAAAGCCCGGGGCUCAACCCCGGCGAGCCGUUGAAACUGGCGGGCUGGAGUUGGAGAGAAGUACGCGGAAUGCGCGGUGUAGCGGUGAAAUGCUUAGAUAUCGCGCAGAACCCCGAUUGCGAAGGCAGCGUACCGGCUCCACACUGACGCUGAGGCACGAAAGCGUGGGUAUCGAACAGGAUUAGAUACCCCAGUAGUC
RNAcentral lists this ribosomal RNA (459 nucleotides) under uncultured bacterium. RNAcentral describes it as "partial 16S ribosomal RNA". It matches the Rfam family "Bacterial small subunit ribosomal RNA", at positions 338 to 795 of the family's 1533-position model. The record is from RNAcentral.